Molecule: ribosomal RNA, 497 nt
Filed under: uncultured bacterium
Lineage: Bacteria
Description: partial 16S ribosomal RNA
Rfam family: Bacterial small subunit ribosomal RNA
Source: RNAcentral
GAUGAACGCUGGCGGCGUGCCUAAUACAUGCAAGUCGAGCGAACGGACGAGAAGCUUGCUUCUCUGAUGUUAGCGGCGGACGGGUGAGUAACACGUGGAUAACCUACCUAUAAGACUGGGAUAACUUCGGGAAACCGGAGCUAAUACCGGAUAAUAUUUUGAACCGCAUGGUUCAAAAGUGAAAGACGGUCUUGCUGUCACUUAUAGAUGGAUCCGCGCUGCAUUAGCUAGUUGGUAAGGUAACGGCUUACCAAGGCAACGAUGCAUAGCCGACCUGAGAGGGGGAUAGGCCGCACUGGAACUGAGACACGGUCCAGACUCCUACGGGAGGCAGCAGUAGGGAAUCUUCCGCAAUGGGCGAAAGCCUGACGGAGCAACGCCGCGUGAGUGAUGAAGGUCUUCGGAUCGUAAAACUCUGUUAUUAGGGAAGAACAUAUGUGUAAGUAACUGUGCACAUCUUGACGGUACCUAAUCAGAAAGCCACGGCUAACUACGUG